RNAcentral lists this small nucleolar RNA (57 nucleotides) under Euglena gracilis. Its description in RNAcentral is "Eg-m108 box C/D methylation-guide". The record is from RNAcentral. Lineage: Eukaryota; Euglenozoa; Euglenophyceae; Euglenales; Euglenaceae.
GCUGUGAUGCGUUGUUCCAUGCACCUGACACUGCGUGAUGCGCUUUUCUGGUCUGAU